RNAcentral lists this ribosomal RNA (468 nucleotides) under uncultured bacterium. RNAcentral's name for it is "partial 16S ribosomal RNA". It matches the Rfam family "Bacterial small subunit ribosomal RNA", at positions 28 to 507 of the family's 1533-position model. The record is from RNAcentral.
GACGAACGCUGGCGGCGUGCUUAACACAUGCAAGUCGAACGGAAAGGCCCUGCUUUUGUGGGGUGCUCGAGUGGCGAACGGGUGAGUAACACGUGAGUAACCUGCCCUUGACUUUGGGAUAACUUCAGGAAACUGGGGCUAAUACCGGAUAGGAGCUCCUGCUGCAUGGUGGGGGUUGGAAAGUUUCGGCGGUUGGGGAUGGACUCGCGGCUUAUCAGCUUGUUGGUGGGGUAGUGGCUUACCAAGGCUUUGACGGGUAGCCGGCCUGAGAGGGUGACCGGCCACAUUGGGACUGAGAUACGGCCCAGACUCCUACGGGAGGCAGCAGUGGGGAAUAUUGCACAAUGGGCGGAAGCCUGAUGCAGCAACGCCGCGUGCGGGAUGACGGCCUUCGGGUUGUAAACCGCUUUCGCCUGUGACGAAGCGUGAGUGAUGGUAAUGGGUAAAGGAGCACCGGCUAACUACGUG